RNAcentral lists this ribosomal RNA (299 nucleotides) under Favella ehrenbergii. Its description in RNAcentral is "partial Bacterial small subunit ribosomal RNA". It matches the Rfam family "Bacterial small subunit ribosomal RNA", at positions 1 to 332 of the family's 1533-position model. The record is from RNAcentral. Lineage: Eukaryota; Ciliophora; Spirotrichea; Tintinnida; Xystonellidae.
UGGAGAGUUUGAUCCUGGCUCAGAACGAACGCUGGCGGAAGGCUUAACACAUGCAAGUCGAGCGCACUCUUCGGAGUGAGCGGCGGACGGGUUAGUAACGCGUGGGAACGUACCCUUUUCUAAGGAAUAGCCACUGGAAACGGUGAGUAAUGCCUUAUACGCCCUUCGGGGGAAAGAUUUAUCGGAGAAGGAUCGGCCCGCGUUAGAUUAGAUAGUUGGUGGGGUAAUGGCCUACCAAGUCUACGAUCUAUAGCUGGUUUGAGAGGAUGAUCAGCAACACUGGGACUGAGACACGGCCC